UGGUAGCUGGUCGUGCUGGUCUGGCUGGUCUAUGUGUUCAGUGACGUGUGGAGGGGGACACUAUACGAGGACGCGCACCUGCAACAACCCCCCACCAGCCCAUGGAGGAGAUAUAUGUCUGGGACUACACACUGAAGAGGCUCUCUGUAACAUACAAUCAUGUCCAGAGAGUUGGUCUAACUGGUCCUAUGGUGCCAGUGUGACAGUUUGGCUCCCAGCUGCGUGUUCGACACUGUAAUGUCCUGUUCCCACUGGAAACCAAUGUUCAGGAAAUCACACUGAGACCAGGGCCUGCCCACCUGACUCCACUUAUACCGGAAGUCUCCAUCGCUCGUUCCAGUCAGGAGGAGAGAAGAUGCGGAGAUUUCAACGUGUUCCAUAUGAUCGCUGUAGGCCUGAGUAGUUCUAUCCUGGGGUGUUUGGUCACCUUACUGGUGUACACCUACUGCCAGCGCUACCAGCAGCAGUCUCACGAUGCUACAGUCAUCCACCCCAUCUCAGCAUCACCACUCAACACCUCCAUCACCAACCACAUCAACAAACUGGACAAAUACGACUCGGUGGAUGCCAUUAAGGCUUUCAAUAAGAACAACCUGAUUCUGGAGGAAAGAAAUAAGUACUUCAACCCCCAGCUAGCCGGGAAGACUUACACCAAUUCAUACUUCACUGACCUCAACACUUACGAUGACUAUUAACCCUUUGUUGGGCUACAGCACCGGGGAUACACACCCUUGUGCAGACAACAAACCUACACCACUCGUUAUGACAAUGUCCUAUAUUUUUCCACUUCGUAAUGAAAUCUAUGACAUUUUAUGUGGGACCCUUCCUCUCUGGGACCCAUUGGCAGCUGCCAUCCAAUCAAAUUACAGCCACACAGCGAUGUCAUCGAAGGGACAGGCCCACUUCCCCUCAUGUGCUCGGCUGGGGUUCACCCGUGAAGGUUCUAGUAUGGAAAUAAAAAAUCAACAACAACAACAAGAUCUUGACUUGAUUCCCACGAACAUGGAAACAACUGGAAUUUCGAUUUUCAUUGGAGGAAGGGAGAGAAGAAAAAGGAAACUGGAAGAGCUUUCUGAAUGGGAAGGACCCUGCUGUGAUUUCCUGUCUCUGGUUCCAGAACUGUGUCGGGUUCCGGGGAACAAAACAACCCAACUGCUUUGCAUGAUUUUAUCUGUCACUCUGUUCAGUUUUGCAUGGUUGGUAGCGGUUCAGGGCUUGAGGCCUUGCAGGCAGGCAGGCAGGCAGGCGGGCCAAUCACUGUCCGCUGUGCUAGUGCCCUACAGAGGACCCCAAAGGGGUGGCGUUAGUUAUGCCUGAUGAAUUUGAUCCAACUAAAAUGCUCAACGGUAGAUAGUCAAGUGCUUAGCGUACCCAGAGUAGCUGUCACUCAAUAGCUACCCCAGGUUGUUAUGGAUUUAAACCAAUUACAACUCUGCAUUAUUGUAGACUUUUGUUAAACCGAUCUUGUUCUAUAGCGUCUACCGUUGAGUAACUAAAAUACUAGUCCUUUUGUUUACAGAGGGGGCUGGUUAUUCAAAUAAAGACAGCUAUCUAUCAGGAUGUAGAUAUUUUAGAGAUGUGUCCAGGUUUCUUUCUCUUACGGGGCUGGCGUUGGUGUAGCAGUUAGCGGUGGUUGAGAUAUCAGUGUAUAAUCUUUCUUGCUUUUUGUUGAUGUUAUUGUACAGUAAGCUCAUUUGGAAGCAUAUUUCUCUGUGUCUUUAUAGGUCCAUUUACUCAAUGUCAGUGUUAAAAUCAAUACUUUUCUUUGUUACGGCAAAGAAAUGAAAUUUGAGAAGAAGAAAUUACCCGGGAAUAUAUAAGUAGAUCAUGUUCAAACUGUCAUCAUACUUGUUCAUAUUUUUUUACAUUUGUAGUACUUUUCAAGGUGAAACAUCUCUCUUUCGUUUAAAGAUGUACAUCCAUAUUCAGUAUGUCGAUUUCUUCAAUGUUUUCAAUUGUAACUAUU
Non-coding RNA from Salvelinus sp. IW2-2015, 1966 nucleotides. The record is from RefSeq and is a predicted model, not a curated record. Lineage: Eukaryota; Metazoa; Chordata; Actinopteri; Salmoniformes; Salmonidae.